RNAcentral lists this ribosomal RNA (301 nucleotides) under uncultured bacterium. RNAcentral describes it as "partial 16S ribosomal RNA". It matches the Rfam family "Bacterial small subunit ribosomal RNA", at positions 509 to 809 of the family's 1533-position model. The record is from RNAcentral.
CAGCCGCCACGGGAAUACGUAGGUGGCAAGCGUUGUCCGGAAUUAUUGGGCGUAAAGGGCUCGCAGGCGGUUUCUUAAGUCUGAUGUGAAAGCCCCCGGCUCAACCGGGGAGGGUCAUUGGAAACUGGGAAACUUGAGUGCAGAAGAGGAGAGUGGAAUUCCACGUGUAGCGGUGAAAUGCGUAGAGAUGUGGAGGAACACCAGUGGCGAAGGCGACUCUCUGGUCUGUAACUGACACUGAGAGACGAAAGCUAGGGGAGCAAAUGGGAUUAGAUACCCCCGUAGUCCCUGUCUCUUAUAU